CCUACGGGAGGCAGCAGUGAGGAAUAUUGGUCAAUGGACGCAAGUCUGAACCAGCCAAGCAGCGUGCAGGAAGACGGCCCUAUGAGUUGUAAACUGCUUUUAUACGAGGAUAAACUCAGAUACGUGUAGCUGUUUGAAAGUAUCGCACGAAUAAGGAUCGGCUAAUUCCGUGCCAGCAGCCGCGGUAAUACGGAGGGUUCAAGCGUUAUCCGGAUUUAUUGGGUUUAAAGGGUGCGUAGGCGGCCGCUUAAGUUAGAGGUGAAAUCCCGAGGCUCAACUUUGGCAUUGCCGCUGAUACUGUUCGGCUUGAGUGUGGUUGCGGUAGGCGGAAUGCGUGGUGUAGCGGUGAAAUGCUUAGAGAUCACGCAGAACUCCGAUUGCGAAGGCAGUUCACUGUACUGCUACUGACGCUGAGGCUCGAAAGUGUGGGUAUCGAACAGGAUUAGAUACCCCUGUAGUC
This 460-nucleotide ribosomal RNA is filed under the name uncultured bacterium. Its description in RNAcentral is "partial 16S ribosomal RNA". It matches the Rfam family "Bacterial small subunit ribosomal RNA", at positions 338 to 795 of the family's 1533-position model. The record is from RNAcentral.